Molecule: non-coding RNA, 1994 nt
Organism: Mus caroli (Ryukyu mouse)
Lineage: Eukaryota; Metazoa; Chordata; Mammalia; Rodentia; Muridae
Source: RefSeq, a predicted model, not a curated record
AUGGACCAGCAUUUUGCUGGCUUAGACCUGAACUCUUUGGAUAAUCAGACUGGAGGAAGUACAGCAAGUAGGCUUUAUAUCCCUCCUCAUUUAAGUAACAGAAAAGCUACUAAAGGAUCCUAUGGCAAAGGCAUUUUAAGAUGGAGGUCUAGUAAAGAUGAGGAUUCAUACAGAAGUUUUGGAUCAUGGGGUGACACAAGAGGGAAGUCUAGCUCCUUUGGUGAUCAUGGAAGUGAAUCAAGGGAAAGGUUUGAUGAUUAUGGACGGGGAGAAUAUGUUGGCAUUCGCAGCUGAGAAGCUAGAAGUGGCUUUGGCAAAUUUGAAAGAGGUGGGAAUAGUCACUGGUGUGACAAAUCAGAUGAAGAAAACUUGUCAAAGCCACUCCCACCAAGUGAACACUUGGAACAGAAGCUCUUUUCUGGAGGCAAUACUGGGAUUAACUUUUAGAAAUAUGGUGACAUCCCCAUUGAACAACAGGUAACAACUGCCCUACACACGUUGAAAGUUUUGGUGAUGUUGAGAUGGGAGAAAUGUUUAUGGAAAACAUUGAGAUAACUUGUUAUACUAGCCCAACUAGAGUGCAGAAAUAUGUUAUUCCUAUUAUCAAAGAGAAAAGAGACUUGAUGGCUUGUGCUCAAACAGUCUCUGGAAAACUGCAGCAUUUCUCUUGCACAUCUUGAGUCAGAUUUAUGCUGAUGGUCCAGGAGAGGCUCUGAGGGCCAUGAAGGAAAAUGAAAGAUAUGGAUGUUGUAAACAGUAUCCAAUCUCCUUGGUACUUGCACCAAGGAGAGAAUUGGCAGUGCAGAUCUAUGUGGAAGCCAGAAAAUUCUCAUACUUAUCUAGAGUCCGUCCUUGUGUGGUUUAUGGCGGUGCUGUAAUUGGUCAGCAGAUUUGAGACUUAGAAUGUGGAUGCCACUUGUUGGUAGCCACUCAAGGACAUCUAGUGGACAUGAUGGAGAGAGGAAAGAUUGGGUUCGACUUCUGCAAAUACCCGGUACAAGAUGAAGCUGACAAGAUGGUAGAUAUGGGUUUGAAUUUCAGAUACAUAGAAUAGUUGAACAAGACACUAUGCCUCCAAAAGGUGUUUGCCACACUAUCAUGUUCAGUGCUACUUUUCCUAAGGAAAUACAGAUGCUGACCCAUGAUUUCUUAGAUGAGCACAUAUUUCUGGCUGUAGGAAGAGUUGGGUGUACUUCAGAGAACAUCACACAAAAAGUGGUUUGGGUGGAGGAGAUAGAGAAAAGGUCACUUCUACUUGACCUCCUAAAUGCAACAUACAAGGAUUCCCUGACUCUAGUGUUUGUGGAGACCAAAAAGGGGGCAGAUUCACUGGAGGAUUUCUUAUACCAUGAAGAAUAUCCUUGUACCAGUAUCCAUGGAGACGGUCCUCAGAGAAAUGGGAAAGAGGAUCUUCACUAGUUCUGCUCAGGAAAAAGCCCAAUUCUAGUGGCUACAGCAAGAGGAUUGGAUAUUUCAAAUGUGAAGCAUGUUAUUAAUUUUGACUUACCUAGUGAUAUCAAAGAAUAUAUGCAUAAAAUAGGUCGUACAGGGUGUGCAGGAAGCCUUGGUCUUGCCACCUCAUUCUUUAAUGAAAGGAAUAUAAAUAUCACUAGGGAUUUACUUGAUCUUCUUGUUGAAGCAAAACAAGAAGUGCCAUCUUGUUUAGAAAACAUGACUUUUGAACACUACUACAAAGGCAGCAGUCAUGAACGUUCUAAGACCUGUAUAUUUAGUGGAUAGUUUUGUGUCAGAGACUAUCGACAGAUUAGUGGUGUCAGCAGUCCCAGCUUCAGCAGCAGCUGUGCAAGCAGCAUUCAAAGUGUAGAGGUGGCCAUGACAGCAGCAAAGGAUUUGGUGGAGGUGGCUAUGGAGGCUUUUACAACACUGAUGAAUAUGGAGGAAAUUGUAACUCCCAGGGGGUUGACUUGUGGGGUAACUAAGCCUGCUUACAAAGUAGGUCAUCCUGCCAAACAAGCUAAUAUGGAAACCACAUG